GAAACUACACCUCUGAGCUUCCGUAUGGCAGUCAUUUUCAGCUCAGAGUCAGAUAGGCAGAGAGGCUCUCUUCAAGAUCUCCCUGCAAUCAUUAUCCCUCUUCCCUGUCACAAAGGUUACCGAGACUCCAGCUGAACUUUAGUCAUGAAGAUCCUUCAUUGCCUCUCUGCUGCCAUCUUACUAUUAUUAUGGACUGUUCAAGAAGACAGCCCUGCAGAUGCCGCACUUCUUACUUGCUCCUCCAUGGGAGGGUACUGCAUUCAGCCAGUCAAUCAGACCUGCCCUUCGGGUCUAUUCCUGGAUGUGCCCUGCCAUUUCAAAAGAGUUUGCUGCUCAAAGAUGGGUGAUUAGCCUUCAUGUGCAUCCUCACCCAUCUCACCUGUUCUUCAAGUUGGCUGCUGGAAGCUCAGCUGCAAUGACUUCUGUCAGCAAGGCCUUCCUCGCCAUUCUGAAACAACACUUGGGAACAACCAGCAUUGAUUGUUCAGGAAUCCUCAUUGAUUGUUCAGACAUCAUCUAAGGUUUUAUUUCAGUCAUAUUUUCAUGUAUCUCUGCUUGGCAAAUAAAGUUCCCCUGUGGAAGGAGGGGCAAGUUUGUU
This is a long non-coding RNA of Podarcis muralis (Common wall lizard), 598 nucleotides long. RefSeq lists it as uncharacterized. Lineage: Eukaryota; Metazoa; Chordata; Lepidosauria; Squamata; Lacertidae. The record is from RefSeq and is a predicted model, not a curated record.